AACUAAUUGGCAGAUUAAUGCAUUAGAAUUAGAAUCUAAUUAAACUUAAAUCA
This 53-nucleotide transfer RNA is filed under the name Habronattus geronimoi. RNAcentral describes it as "tRNA-Leu". The record is from RNAcentral. Lineage: Eukaryota; Metazoa; Arthropoda; Arachnida; Araneae; Salticidae.